This 505-nucleotide ribosomal RNA is filed under the name uncultured organism. RNAcentral describes it as "bacterial SSU rRNA". It matches the Rfam family "Bacterial small subunit ribosomal RNA", at positions 90 to 625 of the family's 1533-position model. The record is from RNAcentral.
CAUCAGCGGCAGACGGGUGAGUACACGUAGGUACCUACCCCAGAGACAGGGAUACCCGAGGAGGCGAGGGCUACUACCGGAUGACCUCCGGAAGGAGGACAGGCUCAGGCGCUCUGGGAGGGGCUUGCGGNCCAUCAGCUAGUUGGUAGGGUAAAGGCCUACCAAUGCGAAGACGGGUAGGGGGUGUGAGAGCACGGCCCCCCACAAUGGGACUGAAACACGGCCCAUACUCCUACGGGANGCAGCAGCAGGGAGAGUAGUUGCNCAAUAUGCGAAAGCCUGAUGCAGCGACGCCGCGUGAGUGAAGAAGGCCUUCGGGUCGUAAAGCUCUUUUGUAGGGGAAGAGGAAGGGCGGUACCCUAAGAAGAAGCGUCGGCUAACUACGUGCCAGCAGCCGCGGUAAGACGUACGACGCGAGCGUUAUCCGGAAUUACUGGGCGUAAAGGGCCAGAAGGCGGCUUGGUAAGUUGUGCGUGAAAGCCUCGUGCUCAACGCGAGGAAGCCG